RNAcentral lists this ribosomal RNA (1097 nucleotides) under Pseudomonas sp. RNAcentral's name for it is "bacterial SSU rRNA". It matches the Rfam family "Bacterial small subunit ribosomal RNA", at positions 269 to 1355 of the family's 1533-position model. The record is from RNAcentral. Lineage: Bacteria; Pseudomonadati; Pseudomonadota; Gammaproteobacteria; Pseudomonadales; Pseudomonadaceae.
CAAGGCGACGAUCCGUAACUGGUCUGAGAGGAUGAUCAGUCACACUGGAACUGAGACACGGUCCAGACUCCUACGGGAGGCAGCAGUGGGGAAUAUUGGACAAUGGGCGAAAGCCUGAUCCAGCCAUGCCGCGUGUGUGAAGAAGGUCUUCGGAUUGUAAAGCACUUUAAGUUGGGAGGAAGGGCAUUAACCUAAUACGUUAGUGUUUUGACGUUACCGACAGAAUAAGCACCGGCUAACUCUGUGCCAGCAGCCGCGGUAAUACAGAGGGUGCAAGCGUUAAUCGGAAUUACUGGGCGUAAAGCGCGCGUAGGUGGUUCGUUAAGUUGGAUGUGAAAGCCCCGGGCUCAACCUGGGAACUGCAUUCAAAACGACGAGCUAGAGUAUGGUAGAGGGUGGUGGAAUUUCCUGUGUAGCGGUGAAAUGCGUAGAUAUAGGAAGGAACACCAGUGGCGAAGGCGACCACCUGGACUGAUACUGACACUGAGGUGCGAAAGCGUGGGGGAGCAAACAGGAUUAGAUACCCUGGUAGUCCACGCCGUAAACGAUGUUCAACUAGCCGUUGGGAGCCUUGAGCUCUUUAGUGGCGCAGCUAACGCAUUUAAGUUGACCGCCUGGGGAGUACGGCCGCAAGGUUAAAACUCAAAUGAAUUGACGGGGGCCCGCACAAGCGGUGGAGCAUGUGGUUUAAUUUGAAGCAACGCGAAGAACCUUACCAGGCCUUGACAUCCAAUGAACUUUCCAGAGAUGGAUUGGUGCCUUCGGGAACAUUGAGACAGGUGCUGCAUGGCUGUCGUCAGCUCGUGUCGUGAGAUGUUGGGUUAAGUCCCGUAACGAGCGCAACCCUUGUCCUUAGUUACCAGCACGUAAUGGUGGGCACUCUAAGGAGACUGCCGGUGACAAACCGGAGGAAGGUGGGGAUGACGUCAAGUCAUCAUGGCCCUUACGGCCUGGGCUACACACGUGCUACAAUGGUCGGUACAGAGGGUUGCCAAGCCGCGAGGUGGAGCUAAUCCCACAAAACCGAUCAUAGUCCGGAUCGCAGUCUGCAACUCGACUGCGUGAAGUCGGAAUCGCUAGUAAUCGCGAAUCAGAAU